RNAcentral lists this ribosomal RNA (1280 nucleotides) under uncultured bacterium. RNAcentral describes it as "bacterial SSU rRNA". It matches the Rfam family "Bacterial small subunit ribosomal RNA", at positions 93 to 1399 of the family's 1533-position model. The record is from RNAcentral.
GAGUGGCGGACGGGUGAGUAACGCGUGGGUAACCUGCCCUGUACAGGGGGAUAACAAUCAGAAAUGACUGCUAAUACCGCAUAAGACCACAGCACCGCAUGGUGCAGGGGUAAAAACUCCGGUGGUACAGGAUGGACCCGCGUCUGAUUAGCUGGUUGGUGAGGUAACGGCUCACCAAGGCGACGAUCAGUAGCCGGCUUGAGAGAGUGAACGGCCACAUUGGGACUGAGACACGGCCCAAACUCCUACGGGAGGCAGCAGUGGGGAAUAUUGCACAAUGGGGGAAACCCUGAUGCAGCGACGCCGCGUGGAGGAAGAAGGUCUUCGGAUUGUAAACUCCUGUUGUUGGGGAAGAUAAUGACGGUACCCAACAAGGAAGUGACGGCUAACUACGUGCCAGCAGCCGCGGUAAAACGUAGGUCACAAGCGUUGUCCGGAAUUACUGGGUGUAAAGGGAGCGCAGGCGGGAAGACAAGUUGGAAGUGAAAUCUAUGGGCUCAACCCAUAAACUGCUUUCAAAACUGUUUUUCUUGAGUAGUGCAGAGGUAGGCGGAAUUCCCGGUGUAGCGGUGGAAUGCGUAGAUAUCGGGAGGAACACCAGUGGCGAAGGCGGCCUACUGGGCACCAACUGACGCUGAGGCUCGAAAGUGUGGGUAGCAAACAGGAUUAGAUACCCUGGUAGUCCACACCGUAAACGAUGAUUACUAGGUGUUGGAGGAUUGACCCCUUCAGUGCCGCAGUUAACACAAUAAGUAAUCCACCUGGGGAGUACGACCGCAAGGUUGAAACUCAAAGGAAUCGACGGGGGCCCGCACAAGCAGUGGAGUAUGUGGUUUAAUUCGACGCAACGCGAAGAACCUUACCAAGUCUUGACAUCCCUUGACAGACAUAGAAAUAUGUAAUCUCUUCGGAGCAAGGAGACAGGUGGUGCAUGGUUGUCGUCAGCUCGUGUCGUGAGAUGUUGGGUUAAGUCCCGCAACGAGCGCAACCCUUAUGGUCAGUUACUACGCAAGAGGACUCUGGCCAGACUGCCGUUGACAAAACGGAGGAAGGUGGGGAUGACGUCAAAUCAUCAUGCCCUUUAUGACUUGGGCUACACACGUACUACAAUGGCGUUAAACAAAGAGAAGCAAGACCGCGAGGUGGAGCAAAACUCAGAAACAACGUCCCAGUUCGGACUGCAGGCUGCAACUCGCCUGCACGAAGUCGGAAUUGCUAGUAAUCGUGGAUCAGCAUGCCACGGUGAAUACGAUCCCGGGCCUUGCACACACCGCCCGUCA